Molecule: long non-coding RNA, 731 nt
Organism: Erigeron canadensis
Lineage: Eukaryota; Viridiplantae; Streptophyta; Magnoliopsida; Asterales; Asteraceae
Exons: 3
Source: RefSeq, a predicted model, not a curated record
UCUAUUGCAGCUUUGCUAGGUUUUGUUUCUCAAUAAACUGUUAUAUGAUUGGUACACAAAAUUAAAUCAUGUUGGAUAAAUGGUGCCAAAUGGGAUGUUCCAAAUUUGGAGUUACCAUUUUUUUGGGGUUGGUCAUCUUUGAGAACAUCCCCUUCACAAUUACUUUAUUUCUGUGGUCGGGUAAUCAUGGGUUCUUUUGAUACUGAAUAUGGUUACUGGAUUAUAUCAAUUAGCAAAGCCAUUAAGGUAUGAUCUUCUCACUUAUCAUCAUUUAUAUCUUUUUUUUUCCUAUCCAGUUUCCUACUAUGUAUUUUGCUUGCAAAUUUAAACAGUUAGUCUAUCAAUGAAGGACAACUCAUUUUGUCUAUCAAGGACAACUCCGUUAGUCUACCAUUGAGGGACAUCUCGGGCAACAAAGCUUCUUCAUCAAAAAGAAAAGAGAGUAAGAUAUCCUAUACGAAAGGAAUGGGAAGAUGUGAGGAAGCGCCUAAAAGGGUGGUUUGUGAAGACAUAUAGGUUACCUGGGUUUAUUGGAAAUGGAGCAAAAUGUUGGUUCUCUCAUAGAUGAAUCGAGUCAUAUGGCGAUCAGGCGACACCAUGCUUGCAGGUAACCUUGCGAAUCCAAGACGUGAUGGUUGAUGGAUGCUUGCGCUAGAGUUUGGGCUUAGUCUUACGUGGAUCAAGGAUUCAUUUGCCCCUAUUUGCAUUAUGCUUUAUGUACUUGUUGUUGA